Canis lupus familiaris (dog) is the source of this 534-nucleotide long non-coding RNA. RefSeq lists it as uncharacterized. NCBI's taxonomy places the organism in Eukaryota, Metazoa, Chordata, Mammalia, Carnivora, Canidae. The record is from RefSeq and is a predicted model, not a curated record. The transcript is spliced from 2 exons.
AAAUGAACCUACAUGACAAAUGACAGCAGAGAAGCAGUGACACCCUGGGAGCCAUGAGCUCACCUUGUGUCCAGAUCUUGGUUUCUAAGGAACAUUCUCCAUGGAAAGGAACAGGGCUCCCUAGAGAAACAGCUGACCCCAGGACCGGCCCAGGGAAUGUACGAAAUCUGCCAGAAACAUUUUGUGGUGCCAGAAAGGAUCAGAAAAAUGUGCUCAGGAGUAAGAUUCAGCAGAAUAAAGAGGAAUCUAAGGAAAAGGAAACAUGAGAUUCAAACACUGAUGGAAAUACACCAGAAGAGCAGUGGAAAGCAACACAAGGAUACUAACAUUAAGGCAGACGGCAUACGGGGAGUGAAAAGGGAACCCGCUGAACAGAAGAGACUGGCAUGCAUUUAUCGGACUAAAGGCUCAUCUCUAGAGCAUGUGUAGAGCUCAUAAAAAAUCAUCAUAGUGAAACAGUUAAACCAACGCAACAGUAAAAUGAGCAAAAGGCUUUGCAAAAAUAUCCAAUGACCAAUAAACAUAUGAACAGCU